AGUGAACGCUGGCGGUAGGCCUAACACAUGCAAGUCGAACGGCAGCACAGUAAGAGCUUGCUCUUACGGGUGGCGAGUGGCGGACGGGUGAGGAAUACAUCGGAAUCUCCUUUUUCGUGGGGGAUAACGUAGGGAAACUUACGCUAAUACCGCAUACGACCUACGGGUGAAAGCAGGGGAUCUUCGGACCUUGCGCGAUUGAAUGAGCCGAUGUCGGAUUAGCUAGUUGGCGGGGUAAAGGCCCACCAAGGCGACGAUCCGUAGCUGGUCUGAGAGGAUGAUCAGCCACACUGGAACUGAGACACGGUCCAGACUCCUACGGGAGGCAGCAGUGGGGAAUAUUGGACAAUGGGCGCAAGCCUGAUCCAGCCAUACCGCGUGGGUGAAGAAGGCCUUCGGGUUGUAAAGCCCUUUUGUUGGGAAAGAAAAGCAGCAGGUUAAUACCCCGCUGUUCUGACGGUACCCAAAGAAUAAGCACCGGCUAACUUCGU
This 491-nucleotide ribosomal RNA is filed under the name uncultured bacterium. RNAcentral describes it as "partial 16S ribosomal RNA". It matches the Rfam family "Bacterial small subunit ribosomal RNA", at positions 29 to 506 of the family's 1533-position model. The record is from RNAcentral.